GAGGACCUUGUUGAGGUUGUUAACGCCUUGGACCAGGCUAGACAUGGUACCUCAAGGUAGAGCCAGUGAAGAUAGACAAAGGUCACAUCACUACAGAACGCUCAGGGUCUGGAGUGUCCACACCCCGCGGGGGCUUCUCUGAGAGGCCAGCUGGCUGACAGCCUUGGCAGAGCAACACCUCCUCAGGCCCACCAGGAAUUCCACGGCAUCUCCACAGCAGCCUUGGGAGAGAUGCUGAUGAGUUCUUCCACCAACCAGGGGAAGGCCACGCUUAUAAAAGCUUCCAGGCCUCGGCGAUAAUUUCUCCCCUUCCCACACCUGUCCCUGCUCCCCUGGGCCCUUUCCCAUCUUAGCUCUGUUUCUGCAGGAAGCAGGACAGAAAGGACUUGGUUUGAUGCAAGUGGAGAGAGAGCACAGACUCGGAACUCUCAGGAACUGGCUUUGCAGCCCAGCUCUGCCAAAACAAGUUUGGACAAGUCACUCAACCUCUCAGCCUCAGCCAGAUAACAGGAACAGACAAUUAAAGUAGGAAUAAUACUUGUGACCAUUAUUAGUAGUAGAAGUGUAAGGGCUUUGGGGUCAGAGUCCUUUGGGUCAAAUCAUGGUUUCUACCUCUUGA
Molecule: non-coding RNA, 619 nt
Organism: Kogia breviceps (pygmy sperm whale)
Lineage: Eukaryota; Metazoa; Chordata; Mammalia; Artiodactyla; Physeteridae
Source: RefSeq, a predicted model, not a curated record